GAUGAACGCUGGCGGCGUGCCUAACACAUGCAAGUCGAACGGAAAGGCCAUGCUCUUGUGGGUUGCUCGUGUGGCGAACGCGUGAGUAACACGUGAGUAACCUGCCCCUGACUGUGGGAUAACAUUAGGAAACUGGGGCGCAUACCCCAUAUAAUAUCUUGCUGCAUGGUGGGGGAUGGAAAGUUUCGGCGGUGGGGGAUGGACUGGCGGGUUAUCGGCUUGUUGGUGGGGUAGUGGCUUACCAAGCCUAUGACGGGUAGCCGGCAUGAGAGGGUGAACGGGGACAAUGGGACUGAGAGACGGCCCAGAAUGCUACGGGAGGCAGUGGGGGGGAGUAUUGCACAAUGGGCGGAAGCCUGAUGCAGCGGCGCUGCGUGCGGGAUAACGGCCUUCGGGUUGUAAACCGCUUUCGCCUGUGACAAGGCGGGAGUGACGGUAAUGAGUAAAAAAGCACCGGCUAACUACGUG
Molecule: ribosomal RNA, 468 nt
Filed under: uncultured bacterium
Lineage: Bacteria
Description: partial 16S ribosomal RNA
Rfam family: Bacterial small subunit ribosomal RNA
Source: RNAcentral